This 439-nucleotide ribosomal RNA is filed under the name uncultured bacterium. Its description in RNAcentral is "partial 16S ribosomal RNA". It matches the Rfam family "Bacterial small subunit ribosomal RNA", at positions 339 to 795 of the family's 1533-position model. The record is from RNAcentral.
CUACGGGGGGCAGCAGUGGGGAAUAUUGGACAAUGGGGGGAACCCUGAUGCAGCAACGCCGCGUGGAGGAUGACGCAUUUCGGUGUGAAAACUCCUUUUAUAUGUCAAGAAAAUGACGGUAGCAUAUGAAUAAGCACCGGCUAACUCCGUGCCAGCAGCCGCGGUAAUACGGAGGGUGCGAGCGUUACUCGGAAUCACUGGGCGUAAAGGACGCGUAGGCGGGUUGGAAAGUCAGGUGUGAAAUCCUACAGCUUAACUGUAGAACUGCACUUGAAACUUCUAAUCUAGAGUAUGGGAGGGGGAGAUGGAAUUAGUGGUGUAGGGGUAAAAUCCGUAGAUAUCACUAGGAAUACCUAAAGCGAAGGCGAUCUCCUGGAACAUUACUGACGCUAAGGCGUGAAAGCGUGGGGAGCAAACAGGAUUAGAUACCAGGGUAGUC